This 496-nucleotide ribosomal RNA is filed under the name uncultured bacterium. RNAcentral describes it as "partial 16S ribosomal RNA". It matches the Rfam family "Bacterial small subunit ribosomal RNA", at positions 29 to 507 of the family's 1533-position model. The record is from RNAcentral.
AUGAACGCUGGCGGCGUGCCUCAUACAUGCCAGUCGAGCGAACGGACGAGAAGCUUGCUUCUCUGAUGUUAGCGGCGGACGGGUGAGUAACACGUGGAUAACCUACCUAUAAGACUGGGAUAACUUCGGGAAACCGGAGCUAAUACCGGAUAAUAUUUUGAACCGCAUGGUUCAAAAGUGAAAGACGGUCUUGCUGUCACUUAUAGAUGGAUCCGCGCUGCAUUAGCUAGUUGGUAAGGUAACGGCUUACCAAGGCAACGAUGCAUAGCCGACCUGAGAGGGUGAUCGGCCACACUGGAACUGAGACACGGUCCAGACUCCCACGGGAGGCAGCAGUAGGGAAUCUUCCGCAAUGGGCGAAAGCCUGACGGAGCAACGCCGCGUGAGUGAUGAAGGUCUUCGGAUCGUAAAACUCUGUUAUUAGGGAAGAACAUAUGUGUAAGUAACUGUGCACAUCUUGACGGUACCUAAUCAGAAAGCCACGGCUAACUACGUG